CGGCCCUCUCCGCCGCCUCGCAAGCGGGCACUGGCUUCAGGAGAGGAUGUUCCAUGGCCGUAAGCGCAGGUACUCCCUGGUACUUGCUGUCAUGCCAUUAUCGCCAGUGGUGCUGACGUGAUGCGGUCUUUGCAUGGACCGCACAAUGAAACGAUACCUGUGUAUCGUGCUUAUUGUUUCCGGCACGCUGUUUGCGCACCUUAGCGAAGACGGAAAUCUUUCCGGCGACGCGAAUCGUGUGGCUCUCAACGUAACGGGCAGGUAAGCGUGGAUGCCGCCCCUCGGGGCGGCUUUCC
This 296-nucleotide small RNA is filed under the name uncultured Superficieibacter sp. RNAcentral describes it as "ryfA RNA". It matches the Rfam family "ryfA RNA". Rfam says of the family: This family consists of a number of bacterial RNA genes of 305 bases in length. The ryfA RNA gene is present in E. coli, Shigella flexneri and Salmonella species where it is found between the ydaN and dbpA genes. The record is from RNAcentral. Lineage: Bacteria; Pseudomonadati; Pseudomonadota; Gammaproteobacteria; Enterobacterales; Enterobacteriaceae.